This 328-nucleotide ribosomal RNA is filed under the name uncultured eukaryote. RNAcentral's name for it is "partial 18S ribosomal RNA". It matches the Rfam family "Eukaryotic small subunit ribosomal RNA", at positions 1470 to 1796 of the family's 1831-position model. The record is from RNAcentral.
CCCUUAGAUGUCCUGGGCCGCACGCGCGCUACACUGAUGCAUGCAACGAGUUUAUAACCUUGGCCUGAAAGGUCUGGGUAAUCUUUUGAACGAGCAUCGUGAUAGGGAUAGAUUAUUGCAAUUGUUAAUCUUGAACGAGGAAUUCCUAGUAAACGCGAGUCAUCAGCUCGCAUUGAUUACGUCCCUUCCCUUUGUACACACCGCCCGUCGCACCUACCGAUUGAAUGGUUCGGUGAAGAUCUCGGACUUCGAUAUUUAUUCUUUAUUGAGUUUAUAUUGUGGGAAGUUAUCUAAACCUCAUCAUUUAGAGGAAGGUGAAGUCGUAACA